This 253-nucleotide ribosomal RNA is filed under the name uncultured bacterium. Its description in RNAcentral is "partial 16S ribosomal RNA". It matches the Rfam family "Bacterial small subunit ribosomal RNA", at positions 524 to 776 of the family's 1533-position model. The record is from RNAcentral.
UACGUAGGGUGCGAGCGUUAAUCGGAAUUACUGGGCGUAAAGCGUGCGCAGGCGGUUCGUUAAGUUCGUUGUGAAAGCCCCGGGCUUAACCUGGGAAUGGCCAUGGAAACUGGCGAGCUGGAGUGUGGCAGAGGGGGGUGGAAUUCCGCGUGUAGCAGUGAAAUGCGUAGAGAUGCGGAGGAACACCGAUGGCGAAGGCAGCCCCCUGGGCUAACACUGACGCUGAGGCACGAAAGCGUGGGGAGCAAACAGG